This is a long non-coding RNA of Cygnus atratus (black swan), 4038 nucleotides long. RefSeq lists it as uncharacterized. The record is from RefSeq and is a predicted model, not a curated record. The transcript is spliced from 5 exons. NCBI's taxonomy places the organism in Eukaryota, Metazoa, Chordata, Aves, Anseriformes, Anatidae.
AGGAGGAGGGAAGGAAGGCGGCGGCGCAGCGGUCCCCGCCGCCCGCUGGGGCGGCCUCAGCGCUUCAACGGGAUCAGCCCAUCAAAAGUACUGCCGUAUGCCUUCUUUGCAAGAGCAAGCAGAAUGGAAGACUGGACUAGAAAUGAGAGCUCUCCAAGCACAUUUGAGCCACGACAUGAACUUCACCACAUACUCAAUGUAGGACCGUGAAAACGUGUGGAAGAUGGAAGUGACUGGAAAUGCCAUGAGGAGGAUGCCACUCAGGAUGCUGCUCAGUGCCACCACUUGGCCAGGAAUGCUCCUGGGAACCAUAUCUCCGUAGCCUACCGUGGUCAUGGUGAUGACAGCCCACCAGUAGCACGCGGGGAUGCUGGUAAACUCCUGCGAGUCCGCCAUCUCGUUCUCGAUGACAUACAGGAGCGGUGCAAACAGUGCAAUGGCCACACAGAGGAAGAGCAGCAGGAGACCAAACUCCCGGGUGCACCUGCGAGCAGUCAGCCCCAGCGUCUGCAGCCCUAGGGAGUGCCUGGCCAGCCGCAUGACAUAAAGAAUCCUCAAGGCACGGAGUAUACGGAGGACCAGACCUACUUUGUCCAGAUACCUCCUUUUACAACACCAGUCCAAGUUGUCUUCCUCAAUUCCCCAGUAGAGCAGCUCCUCUUGGAAAGACAACGCACACAUCUCCCGCAGGAGCCGAAGUUUUCCAACCCGCAAAAAGGGCCUGUGGUAGGACUGUGGAAAAAGAAAGCCUACGGGAAUAUACAAGAAUGGACAAGGCGUGAUUCAGACCUUUCAAGAGCUGUGGUACCAUUUUCUGGCCCUUUUGGCAGAGGUAAGCUUUGGCAUCUUGCUCCUAUCCCAAAGUGGGAUCUCUAUUGCUAUUGCUAGUGAUUUGAGAGCAGCUGUUUGGAGGGUUAACCCAUUCUCUGCUAAAAUCUUAACUAUGUUCAGCUUUCAGUACCUUAUCACUACAUACUUUCUUGUAUUGCUGAGUGGCUCUGUCUUUCCUCCAGAAUUAUGACUCUUGGGAAUCCCCAUGGCAGGCAAUGGGCAAUUCUAAAACUUCCAAAGGAGUUUUAGAAAAGGAGGAUGUAAUAAACUCAAGUAAACUUCUAGUUGAUUUCAGUUUAUGUCUUGUCUCAAGAAAGACUAAGUGAAGGCGUACUGAUCUGCAAGUCCUGUUUUCUGAAAGAACAUUAACACAAAAUGUAAUCAUACUAAAGAGUCACUGUCUAGAGAACUCCAGCCAACACUGGGAUUAUCAGCGGAGCAUCACGACAAACAGUGGCACUCUGCCACUGCCCACUGCUAAAGCUGCAGGGCUCAGAUAAAUGAAUGGAUCUGAGGAGAAUGACAGCUGGCUCACAUAGUGCUAGCUAGAGCACGUUGAACAGUGCAAGUAAGGAGCAGUUGAGCUUGUAAUUACCCUGACUUACAGUCCUAUCCCAUGAAGCACUCCUAGUGACCUAAGAGCUGGUCUUCUAUUAAAGCAUGCCCAUCUGCAGAAAUACUGCCACUGUGAGCUCAAGCCGUAGGUGGGAAAACGGGGCUACCUGAGGUAUGGUUAUGUAGGACCCUUCUCCUUAAGAGUAACUGUUUUUUUCUUUAGAAACAAAUUUUUUCCCGUCUGCCUCAACUAUGUCUAAGGCUGGGCUUGCCUAAAGAGAAUAAAGAUUAUGAUUAAUGGAAGACUGUGGAAAAAUUGGGAGCUAAGUUAACCGCUUUCCCUUCUGUAAUACCAGAUGAUGUUGGUUAGCAACAAUUUAUCCUCUGAAUCUCAGCCAGGAAAAAUGAGGAGGCAGCUCAUCUCUGUGACUGGUUUGAUCUCCCACCACAUCCAUUGUUGACACAAUGGAAAGAAAUGGGGAGAGGGAAAUGUAAAUGUUCGUGUGUGUCAGACACACGCUGUAACCCUGAGGCAUCAGCUGUGAAACAACAGAGCAAAGAAAAAAUAAUUUCUUUCUUCACUUCCAGCUUCUCGACCUGUGCGAGACAAUAAAUUGGACAAAUUAAUCCCCUGUGUAACACACAGUGACUGCAGUUAUAAAAGGUGGUUCCUUCUAUUUCCAUAACCAGAACUGGCAAGCCCACAGAUUCCACGUAGGCAGCUUUGGUAUUUCAUGCUGUACAUGUGUUAUUUACGUGAUUUUUUACCUCUGAUACACAAAGCUUCAUAUCUAAGAGGGAAGAAUAGGAGAAAAUAAGGGACAAUAGAAAAGAUGGUCUGAAUUGAAGGAAAAGAGAAAGGUGAAAAAUAAAGCCAUGCGCUUCUUUGCAUGUUUCUUCAUUGGAAGGCACCUCUACAGAAUGAUGAUCAGCACUACGUUAAGAAGGGAGCUAUCUGAAGAAUAGAAAGGGUUUUUUUGUUAGUGAGCUUGCAAAAAGAGCAACCUACUUUACUCGUGCAUUGCAGACUGAUGACAUUGGGGAUAGGUGUAAGAAAUGCAUUGAGGAGUGCGUUACUGGAAUAUAAAGUCAGAAAAACACAUUAGCCUACAGCAACCAUUUUCACAACAAUUAAACAAGAUGAACUUCAAGGAUGUACUAUAACAGUAAAAUCCUCCUUCAGAUAAAACUGCUCUGGUUAAGUAGGGCCCAGUGAUAAAAUCCCUCCACAUCUGAGAUAGCAUUCUGCCCUUUGAAUGCUUGGGAGUUUGUGGAGUCCAGUUCUUACCAGCACCCUCGCUCAUCAUGUGUGCUUGUUUUUGAUAAAUCACUUCUCUCUGAGCUUCUUUACUUUUGUUUGUAAGCUCACCAGGGCAAGAACUGACUCUUACCACAUUAUACAGUCCUGGUUAUAGUUCUGGCUUCUAGAAACCAUGGUAAUACAGAAUAACUGUCCCAUAGCAAGAGCUCUUGGUGACUCUAAAUGGUGUGUUGUGCAUGUGAAUCAAGAUGUAACAUCUUUUCAAAAAUCUCUCUUGCACAAGAUGAUAUUCUGAUCCAUUAUGUCUGGUGAAGAAAUUGAAUUAGAAAUCUGUACUGCCCUUACUUUCAGCACAAAUUCAGGACGGGUGCCAGACUCCUAGACAAUGGGGAAAGAAUUAUUAAAGAUGCCCUUCUGAGGUAAAGAAAUAAAAAUCCAAAGUAACGUGCUAAAAUUCCACUUCAAGUUCUGUUCUCCCCCCCUCCAGCAUCCUCUGCAGUAUUUUGAAUUCUGCAGUGCAUCUCUGAUGUAAUCAGAGCUCCUGCAAGGAGUCCUGAUACUGCUCUGUGAUGCAGACAAUUCAAAGUUGUGCCUAGGUGAUAACAAGCAUGCAAGGAAGAUGCGUAACUCCCCCCUAGACUCUUCUGUCAAUUCCAGUGCCUGGAACUGAUCUCUGCUGCCUUUUACCAUUUGGAAAUUUAGCAAAAAAAAGUUUCAGUGCAGGGUGAAUGUGAAUACAGUGACUUGUCUGGAAGGAUUCUGUAAGAAACGGUCUUGCAGGUUAGUGAUCCUCCAUGCUUUAUAGUUUCCUUAGUUAAAAUAGGCAGUGUUAAAUGCAGCUCUCUUCUGACACUUGAUUUCCAUCCUGUAUUGCCACUGUCCGAGUCCCCCCUGCAAUACUUCAAGCUAUACUCAUACGGUUCUCUAGGUAGUAACAACAAAUCUCAAACUUUAGCUCUGCUUGCAAAGUGAACCUCCAGCCAAAUCGAAGUAAAACUUACAGAGGUCAAUGUAUAGCAUAAACCAAAAUCAUCCUGAAAAACACAGAAUCUCCAAAAAAAAAAAAAAAAAGUCACAUCUGCAUACUGCUCUCCUGGAUCUGGUCAGUGUUACGCUUUAGGGCAUCUUUUGACAUCCUACAAACUGAAUGAUGACAAACAUGUUACCCGGUGUUUUGCUUUAUACAGCUGAGCCUUAUUCUGCCGAUAACAUUCAGAAGUGAAAUAACUUUGCUAGAUAACUUAUAUCCCCAGGAGAAUGUCCUGAAAUACAUUAUAGCUAAUAACUACGGUAGUUUGCUUACACUGAAAUAUAUUUGUUAAGCAAUUUUAGCAAGUCACAUUGAAAACAGUCUUUUAAACAUCUUGCUAUAAAGUAAAGGAUUUGUCAUG